UAGGGAAUCUUCCGCAAUGGGCGAAAGCCUGCCGGAGCAACGCCGCGUGAGUGAUGAAGGUCUUCGGAUCGUAAAACUCUGUUAUUAGGGAAGAACAAAUGUGUAAGUAACUAUGCACGUCUUGACGGUACCUAAUCAGAAAGCCACGGCUAACUACGUGCCAGCAGCCGCGGUAAUACGUAGGUGGCAAGCGUUAUCCGGAAUUAUUGGGCGUAAAGCGCGCGUAGGCGGUUUUUUAAGUCUGAUGUGAAAGCCCACGGCUCAACCGUGGAGGGUCAUUGGAAACUGGAAAACUUGAGUGCAGAAGAGGAAAGUGGAAUUCCAUGUGUAGCGGUGAAGUGCGCAGAGAUAUGGAGGAACACCAGUGGCGAAGGCGACUUUCUGGUCUGUAACUGACGCUGAUGUGCGAAAGCGUGGGGAUCAAACAGG
Molecule: ribosomal RNA, 429 nt
Filed under: Actinomycetes bacterium
Lineage: Bacteria; Bacillati; Actinomycetota; Actinomycetes
Description: Actinobacteria bacterium partial 16S ribosomal RNA
Rfam family: Bacterial small subunit ribosomal RNA
Source: RNAcentral